GGGACCGCACAAGCAGCGGAGCGUGUGGUUUAAUUCGUUGCUACACGAAGAACCUUACCUGGGUUUGACAUAUAGGUUGUAGGGAACUGAAAAGGACCGACCUUCGGGAGCCUAUACAGGUGUUGCAUGGCUGUCGUCAGCUCGUGUCGUGAGAUGUUCGGUUAAGUCCGCUAACGAGCGCAACCCUCGUCGUAUGUUAUAUGUGUCAUACGAGACUGCCGGUAAAAGCCGGAGGAAGGUGAGGAUGAUGUCAAGUCAGCAUGACCUUUAUAUCCAGGGCUACACACACGCUACAAUGGUCUGUACAAUGGGUAGCCAAGCCGCGAGGCGGAGCCAAUCCUGAAAGCAGGCCUCAGUUCAGAUUGCAGUCUGCAACUCGACUGCAUGAAGCCGGAGUUGCUAGUAACCGCAGGUCAGCAAUACUGCGGUGAAUACGUUCCCGGGUCUU
Molecule: ribosomal RNA, 448 nt
Filed under: uncultured Anaerolineaceae bacterium
Lineage: Bacteria; Bacillati; Chloroflexota; Anaerolineae; Anaerolineales; Anaerolineaceae
Description: bacterial SSU rRNA
Rfam family: Bacterial small subunit ribosomal RNA
Source: RNAcentral